AACACAAAAUUCCUCAUUACCUACCAUCUUUUUCGUGUGCUGUUUUGGGAAAGAAUAAAAUUCAACACAAUUGAUGAAUACCAUCAUAUAAUUAGGUGUACGUCCUCGUUUUUUAAUAACUACAUCAAGUAAAAGUGCCAAGUAUUUUUUUUCAGAGAAGAAAUAACUUACAAAUUUCUUCAUGUAAAGAUCUGCGUCUCGCAAAUAUGGCCGAUCUGUAAUGAUUUGGUAGGCAGUGAUUUUAGUAUGUAUCGUAGUACGCAAAGCAUGAAAAUGGAGCUACGUGUUGGUAACAAAUAUAGAUUGGGACGUAAAAUUGGGUCUGGAUCUUUUGGAGACAUUUAUUUGGGCACAAAUAUUGUAACCCGAGAGGAAGUUGCUAUCAAACUAGAAUGCAUAAAAACAAGACAUCCACAGCUGCAUAUAGAAAGCAAAUUUUACAAACUUAUGAGAGGAGGCAUUGGAAUACCUACUAUAAAAUGGUGUGGUUCUGAAGGAGAUUACAAUGUCAUGGUAAUGGAACUAUUGGGUCCUUCAUUAGAGGAUCUAUUUAAUUUUUGUUCCCGUCGAUUUUCUCUUAAGACAGUUCUUCUGCUUGCUGAUCAACUAAUUACCCGCAUUGAAGACAUUCACUACAGAAAUUUUAUUCACAGAGAUAUCAAACCAGACAAUUUCUUAAUGGGUCUAGGCAAAAAGGGGAACCUUGUGUACAUAAUAGACUUUGGACUAGCUAAGAGGUAUAAGGACCCUCGCAAUAAUCAGCAUAUUCCAUACAGAGAAAACAAAAAUUUGACCGGUACGGCUAGAUACGCGUCAAUUAAUACUCACCUAGGUAUUGAACAAUCUCGACGAGAUGAUCUGGAGUCGCUAGGAUAUGUUCUCAUGUACUUUAACCGGGGGAGCUUGCCGUGGCAAGGCCUCAAAGCGGCGACCAAACGACAGAAGUAUGAGAGGAUAUCAGAAAAGAAACUUUCCACUCCAUUUGACGAAUUAUGCAAGAAUCAUCCGAUCGAGUUCCAGUUGUACCUGAAGUACUGCAGACGACUUCGUUUUGAAGAAAGACCGGACUAUGGUCACCUGCGUCAACUGUUCCGCACCCUCUUCCACAGGCAGGGGUUCACAUAUGACUACGUUUUUGACUGGAAUAUGCUGAAAUUCGGUGUCCCCCAUGUGUCCGUAGCGGCGGGCGCCAAGGAGCGAGCACAAAGACGACAUGAUCAAAUUCCUGAGCCAGAGAACAAUGUGCCAGGGACCGCGCGGCCAGUGGACGACUCGAAGGCAGUGGAGUAUUAGCAGCAGUGAGACAUGACUUACCUACUUCUUCUCCCCCGCUCGCCUCCGGCUCAGUCACCGUAACGGCCACGGCAGCGACAGGCGCUGUGGGGUGCGCCCCGGGGCAACCUAGCACUACGGUGGCCGCCGCCGCCGAGUGGCGGUGAGGCCGCUCGCUGAAGAGGCCGCGACACCACGCGCCCGCGUCGCCUCUCCUGACCUCACCAACCGGACCACAACUAGGAGACAGGAAGCAUUCAGUGAAGUUAUUAUUUUAAAAUUAUAUUAUCAAAACAAAAUGAGAAGUAGAGGUGAGCUAUCACUCGUAAACCGGACCACAGAAGUAAUGUGUUAUUUGUGAACAAUUUCCAUAUUAUUUUCAUUGAGUGUCAUUGAUACAUGAACGAUUGGGUGACAUGGUCGACUAAUGUGUGUGGCGUUGUUAAUCUAUUGUAAUAUUGGCAUUCACCAGUCAAUACUGUAAAUGAUUAUAGACUUAAACUGGACCUGAGUUGCCCCAUUAAGUCUCAUUUAUUUUAAGUGAGUCCGUACCAGUUGAUUGCCGCUUGCUGGCCGAUAUUAAACCAGGGUGACUUAUCACUAAUUGGAACACCCUUUAAUUUACCAGCUUGUAUUGCAAUUUAUGCUCAGUUGUAUUUAGAUGUAAUAUAUGAAAUGAAUCCAUGUUGGAUGGAGUUAAUGUGUGAGUUUGGUUGUCUCAUCUCCUAAGUUAACAAUAUUAAUAUAGGUUCGAUGUGGAAUACAUUAUAUAAUAUUAUCAAUUUUGUUAGUUAUUUUAUUUAUGCAUUUAUGAUAAUAAUACCUAAGACGAUUUUUAUUAGUUUGAUUGGAUUCAUUGUAUGUUAUUCAACUCUCGGUUAACAUAACCCGUAACAUGAAUUUUGAACAUGUAUUAUUGAUAACUGAUUAUUGUAUGUGCAAUAAAAUUGUGUUUUUUUCUAACUUGUCUUCCAUUUUCUAUGCAACAUGCUCUUUCUUGUUGCCAAACUGAUUCAUUUUAUAUCUUUCUUUUUUUUUAUUAAGGCACUGCCAUAAGCUAUUUUCAACUUACGUUGAAAUGGUCGUCAUAGUUUUAAAUAUUUCUUCUAUAUCAUUUUUGAUGAAUGGUAACGAUUUUACCAUAAUUAUUAGGAAAUAUUCUGGAUAAUCAUAUUAAAAAUAAUACACUUAACAACUUGCAACAACCUGUUUUAAUUAUUAUUUUAAAUAAGUAUUUUGUUAUUGCUCAUAACAAAAAGAUAUUACAUCUCUCCUCACCACAACAACAUAAUAAUAUUGAAUUUUCUCAAGUCUAUGAAAAACUAAUUAAAACAGUUUUUAACUAUCAUGGUCUUGUUUAUAAUAUUGUAAUAUUUGAUACCCGAAUUAUUGCUUUGAUACAUACCAAUAUGUAUAUUAUUCAUUUUUUUAAUGUUAUCAUCAAUCUCUAAUAUGACUGAGAAUAGGUUCCAUUUAAUUGUAAAUAUAACUUAGGUAGGUACUGAUAGUUAUAUUGUAUUGUUAUGCUAUAUUAGAUAAUGUUAUGAGAAUGGAUGGGUUACUUGACUAGAUGACUAGAGAAGUUGAUAUUCAGCGGGCUCAAGAGAUGCUGCCGCCCGCUGUCCUAUGAGAUCAUGUUGGUAUGGCAUCCAUUACUAAAUGCUCCACUUUUCAUUCGCCUAUUGCAGGGUUACCCUCUUUUUAGGAUUUUGAAACUAUACAGCGAUAUUCCAUAAGGUUUUUAGUUUGUAAUAUUGAUGUCUAGUUGAUAGUUUUGGAUCUAACACAUCGAAAUGUUUAUUAAUUAAUGAAGGUGUUAUUAUUUUGUGCUUAAAAAAUCUUGCAUAACCUGAUAUUGUAGUAUACAUGUUAUUUGUCAAGGGGCUAUGUUAGUGGUACAAACAUAAAUUGGUUUUCAUAUAUGGUUUCUGUAUUGUAGCAUCGACAAAAUUGAUUCGUGAUCCACCUUGAUGAUAAUUCUUUUAAAAUUUUAUAAAUAGAUUUAUAUUGUAUAUGAAAAAGAUUGUAUGACAAUUGGUGGGACUGUCAGUGUCUCAUAAAAUGAUAACAUUGAUUAUAAUGAGGGAAGGACAUUAAGGUGGGUCACUAUUCUAUUUUGUUGAUAGUAUAUACUGGUAUUAACACUCUUACUGGUUACACAUUUUUUUAUUACACCUCCAGUUUACCCUCUAAAAUAUCAAACCAUGUCAAUCAAAAGUAAGGGUAUGUUCCCAUAUGCCCUGCGACCACUGUACAGUGUGACGUCAAUUUAGUAUACUGUGAAGCCGUUCCUUUAUAGCCAUUCUGGUUACUAAUUACUAUUUAAAACGGAACGUAAUCCCGUAUACCGUCAGCCGCAUUUUUUGACGCAGCAUUCAAAUGAGUGUAUUAAAAUUUUCUAGUUCAUUAAAAAAAAACUUUUGUUGGAGUACUGUCAUAUUAAAAAUAUUUGAAAUUGAACUGUAGGUAUUGUUUAUAAAACGUUAGGCACUCGAGUGGUUUUGACUUAUCACGUGAUCAAAGUACUGCGAGUACCUUACCUCGAAAACGCCAGUGCUCACAGUAGAAUAUGGCGGCGAUAUAUGACGUCAUAUAUUUCCCUAGGAUACUGCGGCAGUAUAAUGGCAGUUCAUAACGGAACGAAUUUUUCUACAGUGAUAGCAAUGUGCAGUGCUCGCAAUGCAUAUCGGAACACACCCUAAAUACCUUGUGUCAAAUCAUAGGAUUGAAACAGCAUAGGCGCCAGAUAAGUUAGGGUCACUAUACUUUUAUUGUAAAAGAUACUAACUACACCUACAAAGAAAUAGUACAAUACUCUUUUUUAGAGCACGAUUGAUUGAAUCCUACCUCCUCACAGUUCGGCUACGUCGAUCUCCCGCUGAGAAUAUAUUCAAAAACCUUGGCUAUGUUUCUUUCUCUUCUCAUAGUGUCAUGUGUCAGAUCCUUAUCAUUGUCCGUGGACCUUUAACUCCCACAUAGGUUUUAGCUGGUCGAAUGAAGCCUCAGGUGGUUAUUCUUGUGAUGUCUUCUUCACCAUGGCUGAUGAUAGACCCGAGGGUUUCGUUUAGGUAAUGCUUUGGACGUCUGGGAAUUUUAAAACCUCAUCUUUUAGAAAUUUUUUCAAAUCAACACAAACUCCGUGCGUAAUUACAUCAUCCUGUAAGUUCCAAGGCAUGAGCGAGCGCGGCAUAUCGCCACCAUAAAAUAGUAAUAGGACAGUACCUUAAUUUCAUACUAGAGCGAUCGAAUCGCACGCACACAUACCUCAUACCUACACACGAUUUACACCGCCGCUAAGCGAUCUUGGGAAGACAAAACUAUUGCGUGCCACGACGUACGCAUCCGAGACUGCUCGAAUUAGCUGCGCCGCGCCGUCAUACUUUUUGUAUGUAGCAACCCUAGCGGUCCGCCCAGACGUCGGUAUAAAUUUCAACGGGACCGCUGAGUUACGCUUCUGUUAUAUAACUUGUAUUGUGUUGGCACUUCUAAUCCCUAUUGCCGCCAAGGCUACGGACGGUCGCGUUUCGUAUAUCAGGUACUUAUGUGUAGGGUGCAUAAUGCGUUUGUAAGUAAUGUUGGAAGUGGGUAUUUAUUGAUUAAUGUUCAAUAAUUUUUAAGAUCAAAAAAAUAAUAUCCACUUCAAUAUUAUGUGCCAAUAUAACUGUUGGAAUUUCAGAUAUACCUUCGAACCACAUAUCUAGCUUUAAAUUAUUUUAUAUUCAAAUAAAAACGUGAAUAUUGUUUUACUAACUCUUAUACGGUACCUAUUUGUUUACGUUAGUUGAGGUAAGUUAAUGCGUCCUUUGUAACCGGAUGUAAAUAUUAUAUGGACUGAGGUGUCGUCAUCUGAAGGCUACGAAUAAUAAUAAAUCCUUGGUGCGAAUUUAAAGAAUAGAUAUUAUAUAGUAUAUGUUGAAGAUUUGCGCUCACACAAAGUUCACUUAGUUAUACUUUUCUUAUACAUAGAACUAAGGAAUAGAGUGUGAAGUUGUCUGCAUUUUUUACCACCACCAAAAUGUUCAAGUUGUACUGUUAAAAACUAGAAUACCUUAAGCGUGGUGGCCUAUAUUAAACUGACACAGGCGAAAUUGUGAUGGCCCUUCCGCAGAAGACACUAGAAAGAAUAGAAUAGUGCUAAAAUACAAAAUGAACUUAAUUUUAGCGUUUAUAUUAAGCGAAACCAACACGUAAUAACUUAUAAUGGGCCCACAAUAGAAAGAAUGCGUUAAAAGGCGUUAAGCGUAUUUGUAUAUUUUUUUAACGAAAUUCAUUCCGGAGUUAAACAAUUGUAUGGCCACAGACAAGGGCGUAGCAAUAUACGGGCACGAGGAAUCGCUGCCCUUCCCUAAAUAAUGCAGGACUGCUCACAAACUGUAAAGUAAUAUUACCAAAGGAUCCUAUUAAUAAACAAAAACAAAGUUGAUUUGUUUUUUACCUCAGAUAGGUAUAUUCUUGGUUUGUCUACGCCUAUCAAAAUCCUAGCUACGCCCUUGACCACAGAUUAACACGGUUAUUCGCGUUACUGGCCUAUUAGGCCCCAGCGUUACUUCGAUAAUAUUCUUAUUCGUAGUGUAAGUUUGUCAAAUCGUAGGCUAUAUGGACCGUGUUCGUAGCUGAUAACUUUCUGCGCGUCAUGUUGUAAAUUCGGCUCUAACAAACGAAUUGCUAGCGUGAUGAUUCUGUAAAUAUUACUCUGUAAGCUAGUUAAGUGAUCACACAGUUUUUUACAAUAUCAAUAUAUAUAAUAGGUAACAUAAAAAUAAUACUUAACUGUUGUAGUGGUUGCCGAGUUAUUUUUUAUUUAAUGUCAACAUUAAUUAUUUGUCUCCGUGCGAUGUGUUAAGCAUAAUAAUAUCUUAAUCUUGGAUCAGUAUGGCCUGUGUAAGGUGUUGUAAAAUAUAUAUACAAUAUGUCGGGGUACAAUUUCUAACUUUAGUGUUAUAUAGAAUUAAUAAAUUUUCGAUGUUAAACUCAGUGAAAUAAUAGCGUCGGCAUAUCUGUGAGGUUAUUGUUCAACGUGCCCUCAAAUAUGUCCUGAAAGUUGAUUUGUUUCUUUACGCAUUCAGUGUUAUCAAACGAGUAUUUCGUGUGUGAUGAGCCUAAUUUUGUACGGAAGAAAGUGUUGCGUAUGGUAGAGGUAAUAUGCGAAUAUGAUUGUGCUUCGAUUAUUAUUAUUAUGCUUGCAUUGUUUCAACGUCCAGUAUGUAUUGAUUCCUUUGGCACAAUAAAAUGAGAAAAACUA
RNA transcript from Leptidea sinapis, 6514 nucleotides. It is a transcript of the gene named casein kinase I, with no coding region annotated. Lineage: Eukaryota; Metazoa; Arthropoda; Insecta; Lepidoptera; Pieridae. The record is from RefSeq and is a predicted model, not a curated record. The transcript has 9 exons.